Long non-coding RNA from Zingiber officinale, 614 nucleotides. RefSeq lists it as uncharacterized. The record is from RefSeq and is a predicted model, not a curated record. Lineage: Eukaryota; Viridiplantae; Streptophyta; Magnoliopsida; Zingiberales; Zingiberaceae. The transcript has 2 exons.
CAUCCUCCACGUUAGCAAAAUAUCCCCGCUUCUACUCAUUUCUCCUCCUGCGAAAGCUUCGGGCCGGCGAAGGAAGCACUUGCCUUCUCCUCCUCCGAUCCCGUCCCCUUCUCGCUACCAGAUCUGUUUCCUUGCAAGGCUCGUCGCUCUGCUGCACUGAACAUCCCCUGUCAUUCUCAGCUGCGAAAUCACUUCUUUUCUAGGGUUUUCCCAAGCAUUCGUUCGUCAGGGGAAACGGGGACGCCGGAGACCAACUGGGAGAGGCUGGUCAGGGAAGCGUUGUGCCGGGAGCGGUUGAGCGUCGUUAGCGAGCAGCAGCCCAUCAGUGGCGGUGCAGGAAAUGCCCCAUCCUCCCAGACAAACAAUACCCAUAUCAAAGAGAGGACGAGCAGCAGAUGAGAUUGAUGAUGAGUCCAUAACACUGCGAGAAUUUGUAAGUUCUAUCUUUUUGAUCUUGGUGUUUGUGAUUGUGCGGUCUCCUUACUGCUGAUUAGUACGUUAGUUGCAAGGCCCAACAGUUUAUUUGGAAUCGUUUACUUGUUUAUACUUCCCAUUUCACAUUUGAUUCUCUAAUUUAUUGAAGUUUCUUGAACUCGUUCUGAGAUCUUUUAAAA